CUUAAUGAUUUUGAGGGGCAACAUUUAUUUACAUUUACUUUUCCAGUCACUGAUGAUUCUCCCUCAAAGUUUGGUAAAGAUACAUUUGGUAGCCUUUCCUGUAACUUAUUCUUAGUGUCUAAAGUCUUUAUUGUGGUGAUACUAGGAUGAUGGGCUAAAUUAUUCUUAGUGUCUAAAGUCUUUAUUGUGAUGAUACCCGGAUCAUGGACUAACUUAUUCUUAAUGUCUGAAGUCUUUAGUGCAGUGAUACCAGGAUCACUGGCUAACUUAUUCUUAGUGUCUAAACGCUUUAUUGUGAUGAUAUCAAGAUUAUGGGGCCAGGUUUUAUUAGCAGGGCUUGCAGUUUUUGAAUGUGUUGGGUAAGGAGGAUCUUGGUCUUCAUACUCUAUAACCUCGGCACUUAAAAUAUUUCUACAUUUGAACAUAUCUUGGUCUUUCCUUUUUCUGACUGACAUUUUGUUGUUUAUAUUCCUUAGAAAAGGAUCAAAACCAUUCUUGAUGUUGAAUUUCUGGAACUGUAAUAUUAAAAAAAAAAAGGUCUGACUACCACCCUUAAGAAAAAUAUUUAAGGUCUUAAGAUUGAGAGAAGCCACGCUCAAGAAGCUUCAUCUACCUGGAUCUGAUUUAGAUGAUGAAAUUCUGUACUUAAGCUUGAGCCUAAUGCAGUAAUGGCAUGAAACUAAGAAUUUUGGAAGCAGAGUAAGUGUAUUUUGCUUUUGGGAGAGAAAUUACUUGCAGCUAGAGAUGGUUAAUCUGUGGAUGACCCCCAAUGAACAACACCUUCCAAAAUUCAUGCUCUUAUGUAGUCCCCUCCCAUAUUGGGUCAGGGCUGAGCCUGUGACCUACUUUAACUAACAGAAUGGAGUGAAAGUGACCCUAUGCUAGUACAAAGCCUAAGUCUUAAGAGUACCUGAAGCUUCUGUUUUUGUAUAUUGGAAGCCCUGAGCUGCCACAUAAAAAGUUCAGUUGCCCUGCUAGAAAGACCACAUAGAGAGACCAUAUGAAGAGUUUGCAUGGACAGGGGGGAGGAAUAAUCCCUAAGAUUACAGAGAGAGAAACUGAGACAGAGAGAGAGAGAGAGAAGUUGAGAGAGAGGGAGAGAAACAGGCACAUCAAACCAGAUGUCCAUGCAUCCCAAUUGAGCCCAGACCUACGGCUGUUUCCAUCAGGGUAUAAAACACAUUAAGUGAGCCAUAAUGAGUGUUCCAGCCCAGUCAAGCUCCUAGAUGACUACAGGACCAGCCAACAUCAAGUGGAGCAAAACAACUACCUACCUAAGCGAAGUCAACCCAUAGAAUCUUGAGAAAUAAUAAAAUGGCUAUUUUAAGCACUAAAUUUUGGAGUGGUUUGUUAUGGAGCAAUAAAUAAUUCACUUAUGAAAUGAAAA
Molecule: long non-coding RNA, 1387 nt
Organism: Lagenorhynchus albirostris (white-beaked dolphin)
Lineage: Eukaryota; Metazoa; Chordata; Mammalia; Artiodactyla; Delphinidae
Exons: 3
Source: RefSeq, a predicted model, not a curated record